UCUACGGGUGGCAGCAGUGAGGAAUAUUGGUCAAUGGGCUUACGCCUGAACCAGCCAAGUCGCGUGAGGGAAGACUGCCCUAUGGGUUGUAAACUUCUUUUAUAAAGGAAUAAAGUGAGGCACGUGUGCCUUUUUGUAUGUACUUUAUGAAUAAGGAUCGGCUAACUCCGUGCCAGCAGCCGCGGUAAUACGGAGGAUCCGAGCGUUAUCCGGAUUUAUUGGGUUUAAAGGGAGCGUAGAUGGGUUGUUAAGUCAGUUGUGAAAGUUUGCGGCUCAACCGUAAAAUUGCAAUUGAUACUGGCAGUCUUGAGUACAGUUGAGGUAGGCGGAAUGCGUGGUGUAGCGGUGAAAUGCAUAGAUAUCACGCAGAACUCCGAUUGCGAAGGCAGCAUACCGGCGCUCAACUGACGCUCAUGCACGAAAGUGUGGGUAUCGAACAGGAUUAGAUAUCCCAGUAGUC
Molecule: ribosomal RNA, 460 nt
Filed under: uncultured bacterium
Lineage: Bacteria
Description: partial 16S ribosomal RNA
Rfam family: Bacterial small subunit ribosomal RNA
Source: RNAcentral